ACGGCGAGUGAGCGGCAAAAGCUCAAAUUUGAAAUCUGGUACCUUCGGUGCCCGAGUUGUAAUUUGGAGAGGGCAACUUUGGGGCCGUUCCUUGUCUAUGUUCCUUGGAACAGGACGUCAUAGAGGGUGAGAAUCCCGUGUGGCGAGGAGUGCGGUUCUUUGUAAAGUGCCCUCGAAGAGUCGAGUUGUUUGGGAAUGCAGCUCUAAGUGGGUGGUAAAUUCCAUCUAAAGCUAAAUAUUGGCGAGAGACCGAUAGCGAACAAGUACAGUGAUGGAAAGAUGAAAAGAACUUUGAAAAGAGAGUGAAAAAGUACGUGAAAUUGUUGAAAGGGAAGGGCAUUUGAUCAGACAUGGUGUUUUGUGCCCUCUGCUCCUUGUGGGUAGGGGAAUCUCGCAUUUCACUGGGCCAGCAUCAGUUUUGGUGGCAGGAUAAAUCCAUAGGAAUGUAGCUUGCCUCGGUAAGUAUUAUAGCCUGUUGGGAAUACUGCCAGCUGGGACUGAGGACUGCGACGUAAGUCAAGGAUGCUGGCAUAAUGGUUAUA
RNAcentral lists this ribosomal RNA (542 nucleotides) under Saccharomyces cerevisiae (brewer's yeast). RNAcentral's name for it is "partial large subunit ribosomal RNA". It matches the Rfam family "Eukaryotic large subunit ribosomal RNA", at positions 86 to 642 of the family's 3401-position model. Lineage: Eukaryota; Fungi; Ascomycota; Saccharomycetes; Saccharomycetales; Saccharomycetaceae. The record is from RNAcentral.